CGCGUCCGUGGGGCUCCGCGCGGGUCCUUGGGGGUCUGCGGGGCUCCCUGCGCGUCCGUGUGGGACCGUGGGGCUCCGUGCGGGUCUGCGUGUCCAUCCGGGUCCAGGCGUGUCCGCAUGGCUCUCUGCGUGUCCGUCUGUGUCCGUGCGUGUCCACGCGUGUCUGCGUGCGUCCGUGUGUGUCCGUGUGGCUCUGUGCGGGCCCGUGCACGUCUGUCUGGGUCCGUGUGUGUCUGCACGGCUCCGGGCAUGUCCGUGUACACGUGUGCGUGUCCGUCUGGCUCCGUGUGUGUCUGUGCGGGUCCAUGUGUGUCCGUGUGCGUCUACGUGGCUCCAUGCAUGUCCAUGCACAUGUGUGCAUGUCUGCCUGGCUUCGUGUGUGUCCAUGUGCAUCCGUGUGGCUCCAUGUGUGUCCAUGGCCAUGUGUCUGUGUCCCUGCGUGUCCAUGUGCGUCUGCGCAGGUCCGUGUGCGUCUGUGCAUGUUCUCGUGGCUCUGUGCGUGUCCGUCCGUGACUGUGCGUGUCUGUACGUGUCCCUGUGGCUCCCUGCGUGUCCAUGCGGCUCCAUGCAGCUCCAUGCAUGUCCGUCUGGGUCCGCGCGUGUCCGUGUGCGUCUGCAGGUCUCUGUGUGUCUGUGCGUGUUCUCGUGGCUCCACGCGUGUCUGUGCGUGUCCGUCUGGGUCCACAUGGCUCCACACGUGUGUCUGGGUCCAUGCAAGUCCGUGCGUGUCUGCACGUGUCCAUGCGGCUCCGUGCGCGUCUGCCUGUGUCCUGCGUGUCCGUGCCUGCACGUCCGUGUGGGCAGCGCGUGGCGUGGCGUGCCGCGGCGUGCCGUGGCGUGACGCGGCGUGUGGCGCGCGGCAGGGAGGCGGCGGCGGCGGCGGCGGGGGGGCCCUGCCGCCCGGGCCGCCAGCGCACGGAGGAGGAGGAGAAGCUGCUGCGGCUGCUGCAGGGGCUCAGCCGGCCCCAGGACGGCUUCACCCAGUGGUGCGAGCAGAUGCUGCACGCGCUCGGCGCCCCCAGCGCCCUGCACGUGCCCACGGCGGUGGCCUUCCUGAAGGAGCUGGAGUCGCCCUACGACGUGCACGACUGCAUCCGCUCGUGCCUGGGCGACACGCCGGAGGCCCAGGCCUUCGCCAAGCAGUUCCUGGAGCGCCGCGCCAAGCACCAGGCCG
This 1174-nucleotide long non-coding RNA is filed under the name Apteryx rowi (Okarito brown kiwi). RNAcentral describes it as "lncRNA (ENSARWG00000005912.1)". The record is from RNAcentral. Lineage: Eukaryota; Metazoa; Chordata; Aves; Apterygiformes; Apterygidae.